UUGGGAAUUAUCGCCGACGUGGUAAUCCUACAGGACUAGGUUGUAGCUCCAGCAUUUGGGAAAGCAGCUAUACCUGAGACCCUUUCCUAACGCGACAAUAGGGAUCCCAUUGAACCAAGCAACUAGUCCUAAUCACAGGACCCAGUAAAAACCAGUCUAAAAGACAACGAAUCUCCACAUAAAGAACCGAAUUACCUAACGGGGACCAAGGAGCACCCCCAAAAAGAAAGGGGGUACCAGCGGGGUUGGCUUCUGUAAACCUAGUAAAAUGCAGCCCAAAACACCGGAAACACAAGGAAAACCAAUCAAACCAAAGAAAUGUACAAACUAGAAAACAGAUUUCGAGGUAUCCCAGAAGAGCAGAAUACAUAAAUACAGGCGAAGACGUGCCCGUCUAGUUAAAGUAACUGAUCCCCUCCCUCUGUCAAUUUGGGAGCAAUACGGUAAGUAUGUCCAGAGAUAAAUUUUCUGUUUACUAAUGCGAUGGAAGCGUGCCAGUCCUAUGGCGC
This 509-nucleotide ribosomal RNA is filed under the name Anguilla bicolor (Indonesian shortfin eel). RNAcentral describes it as "partial 16S rRNA". Lineage: Eukaryota; Metazoa; Chordata; Actinopteri; Anguilliformes; Anguillidae. The record is from RNAcentral.